This 98-nucleotide transfer RNA is filed under the name bacterium. RNAcentral's name for it is "tRNA-Arg". The record is from RNAcentral.
GCCCCCGUAGCUCAGUUUGGAUUUUAAGGACAAAAAGAGCACCAGCCUCCUAAGCUGGGGGUCGUGAGUUCGAAUUUUAGAGAAUCUCACCGGGGGCA